CUAACGCGAUAAGUACACCGCCAGGGAAGUACAGCCGGAGGGUUAAAACUCAAAUGAAUAGGCGAAGGCCCGGACAAGCGGUGGGACAUGUGGUUUAAUUCGAUGCAAUGUGAAGAACCUUAACUGGUCUUGACAUUCACAGAAUUUUCCCGGGAUGGAUUGGUGCAUUCGGGAACUGUGAGACAGGUGCUGCAUGGCUAGCGUCAGAUCGUGUUGUGAAAUGUUGGGUUAAGUGCCGCAACGAGCGCAACUGAUUAUCGUUUGUUGCUGGCGAUUAGGUCGGGAACUCGAAGGAGACUGCCAGUGAUGAUCUGGAGGAAGGUGGGGAUGGCGUAAAGUCAUCAUGGCCCUAACGACCAGGGCUACACACGUGCUACAAUGGCGCUUACAAAGAGAAGCCACCUCGCGAGAGCAAGCG
Molecule: ribosomal RNA, 418 nt
Filed under: Salmonella enterica subsp. enterica serovar Typhimurium
Lineage: Bacteria; Pseudomonadati; Pseudomonadota; Gammaproteobacteria; Enterobacterales; Enterobacteriaceae
Description: bacterial SSU rRNA
Rfam family: Bacterial small subunit ribosomal RNA
Source: RNAcentral